AAUCCGUGUUGCGGGCAAUUUUUCUGGAGCUCCUUGAACUUUUCCCACGUCUCAAAUAGAGAAUCCAAUUCUAAUUAUACAAAGGAUGAGAUCUCAUUCCUAACCUU
This is a small nucleolar RNA of Dioscorea cayenensis subsp. rotundata (Guinea yam), 107 nucleotides long. NCBI's taxonomy places the organism in Eukaryota, Viridiplantae, Streptophyta, Magnoliopsida, Dioscoreales, Dioscoreaceae. The record is from RefSeq and is a predicted model, not a curated record.